Culex quinquefasciatus (southern house mosquito) is the source of this 561-nucleotide long non-coding RNA. RefSeq lists it as uncharacterized. Lineage: Eukaryota; Metazoa; Arthropoda; Insecta; Diptera; Culicidae. The record is from RefSeq and is a predicted model, not a curated record. The transcript has 2 exons.
CUGACUGGACGACAGCACAUCAAUAACUGGCCAAGCGGGCGGCAAAAAGGCAAAUCGUGGUCCGUACCGGCAAGGCGAAGGAAACUGUAGACAGUUUAUGAGUGCAUAUCAACAGCAGAUAGCGCCCGGCUUCCUGGCAUCCCUAGAAAGGAAUCACCCCUAGCAGUCCAGCAAGCAGCAAGGCGGAACACCCGGCAGCCAAAGGAACUGAAAAUCAAGCCGGCAUCCCUGAUCCGGUCACUAACGGCCAUUCCGUAACAUCCACGGUUUAUGUCCUGUCGGAAACUGCACAGAUAAGAACCGGCGGAAACGAUGGCCAACCUUUGUGCAACCCGGUACGCCGGAACACCAAGCACGACUACCGGGAAAAAUAGGCCAACCUGCCAGAGUUUGCAAAGAACCAUGACAUGAAGUCACUCCAGUUUUUGGACUAACGGAUGCCCGCAGAUUGCAACUUUUGUUUUUUACUGUGUUAUAGUAGUAGUUUAUAAAGUAUUUUUCACGAAAAUCUAUGUAAUUUGAAGAAAAAACGAGGAAAACUAAAUAAAAACAUAAACAACA